This 193-nucleotide ribosomal RNA is filed under the name uncultured bacterium. RNAcentral describes it as "partial 16S ribosomal RNA". It matches the Rfam family "Bacterial small subunit ribosomal RNA", at positions 326 to 539 of the family's 1533-position model. The record is from RNAcentral.
ACGCUCGACACCUAGGCAGCAGUGGGGAAUAUUGCACAAUGGGGGAAACCCUGAUGCAGCAACGCCGCGUGAAGGAAGACGGUUUUCGGAUUGUAAACUUCUGUUCUUAGUGAAGAUAGUGACGGUAGCUAAGGAGCAAGCCACGGCUAACUACGUGCCGGCAGCCGCGGUAAUCUGAGCGGGCUGGCAAGGC